AUACGAAGGGUGCAAGCGUUAAUCGGAAUUACUGGGCGUAAAGCGAGCGUAGGUGGUUCAGCAAGUUGGAUGUGAAAGCCCAGGGCUCAACCUGGGAACUGCAUCCAAAACUACUGAGCUAGAGUACUGUAGAGGGUGGUGGAAUUUCCUGUGUAGCGGUGAAAUGCGUAGAUAUAGGAAGGAACACCAGUGGCGUAGGCGACCGACUGGAAGAACACAGACACUUAGUCGCGUGCGCGUGGCGACCAAAAUGGGUGAUGUAGCCUCUACAACAACGACGUCAACAAUGACAACUAGAUGGUGGGGUUCAAGAGCACUUAGUACCGAAGCUAACGCCAUAAGUUCACCACCUGGGGAGUACGGCCGCAAGGCUAAAACUCAAAUGAAUUGACGGGU
Molecule: ribosomal RNA, 396 nt
Filed under: uncultured bacterium
Lineage: Bacteria
Description: partial 16S ribosomal RNA
Rfam family: Bacterial small subunit ribosomal RNA
Source: RNAcentral